CUCGACAUCGCAAUUGGGUGGAAGCACACAAGUGUACUCAUUCUAGGCUCUUAGUGUCAUGUUGUCGGCCGCCAACACAAUCACUGCGAGUCGAGAACUCAUACCACUUGAAUUCGUUUCUAGUCACAACUAGAAACAUACUCCAAUCCUGACCCAAUUGAUCAACUUCCGCCAUUGUCACAGGUUCACGUCUCACUCACGCACCUAUAACCUUAA
RNAcentral lists this long non-coding RNA (216 nucleotides) under Ananas comosus (pineapple). Its description in RNAcentral is "long non-coding RNA (ACOM_LNC008895)". Lineage: Eukaryota; Viridiplantae; Streptophyta; Magnoliopsida; Poales; Bromeliaceae. The record is from RNAcentral.